Molecule: ribosomal RNA, 230 nt
Filed under: uncultured microorganism
Description: partial 16S ribosomal RNA
Rfam family: Bacterial small subunit ribosomal RNA
Source: RNAcentral
UACGUAGGUGGCAAGCGUUGUCCGGAAUUAUUGGGCGUAAAGCGCGCGCAGGCGGAUUGGUCAGUCUGUCUUAAAAGUUCGGGGCUUAACCCCGUGAUGGGAUGGAAACUGCCAAUCUAGAGUAUCGGAGAGGAAAGUGGAAUUCCUAGUGUAGCGGUGAAAUGCGUAGAUAUUAGGAAGAACACCAGUGGCGAAGGCGACUUUCUGGACGAAAACUGACGCUGAGGCGC